AAAGCGUGCGCAGGCGGUUAUGUAAGACAGAUGUGAAAUCCCCGGGCUCAACCUGGGAACUGCAUUUGUGACUGCAUGGCUAGAGUACGGUAGAGGGGGAUGGAAUUCCGCGUGUAGCAGUGAAAUGCGUAGAUAUGCGGAGGAACACCGAUGGCGAAGGCAAUCCCCUGGACCUGUACUGACGCUCAUGCACGAAAGCGUGUGGAGCAAACAGGAUUAGAUACCCGUGU
RNAcentral lists this ribosomal RNA (230 nucleotides) under uncultured bacterium. RNAcentral's name for it is "partial 16S ribosomal RNA". It matches the Rfam family "Bacterial small subunit ribosomal RNA", at positions 562 to 791 of the family's 1533-position model. The record is from RNAcentral.